RNAcentral lists this long non-coding RNA (907 nucleotides) under Hordeum vulgare. Its description in RNAcentral is "long non-coding RNA (HVUL_LNC005991)". Lineage: Eukaryota; Viridiplantae; Streptophyta; Magnoliopsida; Poales; Poaceae. The record is from RNAcentral.
UCAUUACAAAUGUGUACUACUUUUUUAUUAUAUGACCCAUCUUUCAUAUUCAUAAAAUGCCUAGGAGCACGUGAUAGAGCUGGCUCUUAGCUAAGAGCCCGUUUACCUUCUCUCUUCUUUUUUUUCCUUUAGCUAAAUAAAAAUAUAUUAGUUUAUUUCUUAUAGCGGGCUGACUCAGCUUUAUUAUAAUUGUAGCAGUGGUGGAAAAGUCAGUGUGGCCGGUGAAGGCGGGAAAGCGGAGGGUGAUGGCGAUAAGGCCGAGCCAAGGGCACGGAUGACGGGGCAUGUCACUCAUACUACUACUCGUAGCACAGUAGUAGUAGCGAGCAGGCGAAUUGAUGGGCACAUGCAAUGCACCUGCCUGCCUUGCGUGCUUCACUCUCACUCACUGCCUGCCUGCUCCAGUCCAAGGUAUACUACACACUACAGUGGAAGCGCAGAACAGUAGUACACCGCAGGGGCAAGGUCGUAAUGACGGAGGGCAGCAAUGUAGUAAUUGAUCCCUGCAUUUGAUUUGAUGAUACCGCUCGCUAGUUCGUCAGUAAAUUCAUUUUGUUUGAAUGGGAUGGCUUCGAAUCGAUGACGAUGAUCGCAGUCAUUGCUGCGGAAGGCCAAGGAAUGCGGGGGCCUUUAUGACGAUGACGUAGCAGGCGUUGCUGCGGAGUAGAAGUAGUACAUUAUUAUUGUGGGCUUUCUAUGGCCCUGUUUGGAUACUCUAACCUACGCCCUGUUUGAAUCGCAGUGCUAGAGCUAGUUUGAGCUGAACUAGUUCCUAAAGUAUCCAAACACAUGGGCUAGUUUGUGUUAGAUGCAAAUUAACCCAUAAAAAAAACUAGCCCUGAGAAGAGGUGCUAACUGGAGCUAGUUGAGCAUGGACAGGUAAAAAUAAUAAUAUUUUGACCGCAUC